Centruroides sculpturatus (bark scorpion) is the source of this 793-nucleotide long non-coding RNA. RefSeq lists it as uncharacterized. The record is from RefSeq and is a predicted model, not a curated record. NCBI's taxonomy places the organism in Eukaryota, Metazoa, Arthropoda, Arachnida, Scorpiones, Buthidae. The transcript is spliced from 4 exons.
ACGGCGCCACUCGAUUUAUUCGAAUUUCAAAAACGUUCUGUUCUGCAACUGUAGUUCGAAAAGUCGUUUGAGUCAAAGACUUGACAAAAUGAAUAUUUGUGUAAUUUGGGAACCAGCGAAUUUAAGGCCAUUUAAAGUUCCGAUUGAGAAAGAAAAUCACGUUGACGGUUACAUUGGAAAGAAAGAAUAAAAAGAUUUCGGAAAUAACAUCUAUCGUAUUGAGCGAAGCUCGUGUAACUGACGUAAGAAGUACAGCACUUCAAGUUCUCGAUGUCUUUUCGUUGACUCUAGUUUCUCAUAAGUGUGAAGAGAAUGUUCGAAUUAAAGUACACAUGAAUCAUCAACCAGGUUCAUUUGAAGCAUUAUGCUUGGAAUUACUGGGAAUUCUUAGAAGAGAUUUUACACAACAGUCAGAUAUUAGAUCAUUAUUGUAUGAGGACAAAUGAAUUGCCUUAAAGUUGUUGUUAUUUUUGUUAGGGCCUUCGUGCAGUCUUGUGCAGAAAUCUGCAAUUAUCUGACGCUAUCUUUGAACUUCUAAUACAAACGUCUUACAACUGUAACACUGUAUUCAGUAAUAACUGUCCACUAAAAACCUUUAUCAGUGUUGUGUUCGUUACAGAUAUUUACUAAUGGUUUUGAUUUUUACCGAGGUCUUCUUCAGGCGCUGAUCAAGCAUUGUCUGCCUUGACUGUUAGAACGAUGUCGUCCGAGAUGUAAAUAUUGCACGUAUCAUGUUUCACUCCUUCACUUGUUCCCGUUUGAAUUCUUUGAAUAGACAGAGAUGAUCACACAG